Molecule: ribosomal RNA, 1551 nt
Filed under: Salmonella enterica subsp. enterica serovar Typhimurium
Lineage: Bacteria; Pseudomonadati; Pseudomonadota; Gammaproteobacteria; Enterobacterales; Enterobacteriaceae
Description: bacterial LSU rRNA
Rfam family: Bacterial large subunit ribosomal RNA
Source: RNAcentral
GGUAUCAGAAGUGCGAAUGCUGACAUAAGUAACGAUAAAGCGGGUGAAAAGCCCGCUCGCCGGAAGACCAAGGGUUCCUGUCCAACGUUAAUCGGGGCAGGGUGAGUCGACCCCUAAGGCGAGGCCGAAAGGCGUAGUCGAUGGGAAACGGGUUAAUAUUCCCGUACUUGGUGUUACUGCGAAGGGGGGACGGAGAAGGCUAUGUUGGCCGGGCGACGGUUGUCCCGGUUUAAGCGUGUAGGUGUGUGUUCCAGGUAAAUCCGGUUCACUUUAACACUGAGGCGUGACGACGAGGCACUACGGUGCUGAAGCAACAAAUGCCCUGCUUCCAGGAAAAGCCUCUAAGCAUCAGGUAACAUCAAAUCGUACCCCAAACCGACACAGGUGGUCAGGUAGAGAAUACCAAGGCGCUUGAGAGAACUCGGGUGAAGGAACUAGGCAAAAUGGUGCCGUAACUUCGGGAGAAGGCACGCUGACACGUAGGUGAAGUGAUUUACUCAUGGAGCUGAAGUCAGUCGAAGAUACCAGCUGGCUGCAACUGUUUAUUAAAAACACAGCACUGUGCAAACACGAAAGUGGACGUAUACGGUGUGACGCCUGCCCGGUGCCGGAAGGUUAAUUGAUGGGGUCAGCGUAAGCGAAGCUCCUGAUCGAAGCCCCGGUAAACGGCGGCCGUAACUAUAACGGUCCUAAGGUAGCGAAAUUCCUUGUCGGGUAAGUUCCGACCUGCACGAAUGGCGUAAUGAUGGCCAGGCUGUCUCCACCCGAGACUCAGUGAAAUUGAACUCGCUGUGAAGAUGCAGUGUACCCGCGGCAAGACGGAAAGACCCCGUGAACCUUUACUAUAGCUUGACACUGAACAUUGAGCCUUGAUGUGUAGGAUAGGUGGGAGGCUUUGAAGUGUGGACGCCAGUCUGCAUGGAGCCGACCUUGAAAUACCACCCUUUAAUGUUUGAUGUUCUAACGUGGACCCGUAAUCCGGGUUGCGGACAGUGUCUGGUGGGUAGUUUGACUGGGGCGGUCUCCUCCUAAAGAGUAACGGAGGAGCACGAAGGUUGGCUAAUCCUGGUCGGACAUCAGGAGGUUAGUGCAAUGGCAUAAGCCAGCUUGACUGCGAGCGUGACGGCGCGAGCAGGUGCGAAAGCAGGUCAUAGUGAUCCGGUGGUUCUGAAUGGAAGGGCCAUCGCUCAACGGAUAAAAGGUACUCCGGGGAUAACAGGCUGAUACCGCCCAAGAGUUCAUAUCGACGGCGGUGUUUGGCACCUCGAUGUCGGCUCAUCACAUCCUGGGGCUGAAGUAGGUCCCAAGGGUAUGGCUGUUCGCCAUUUAAAGUGGUACGCGAGCUGGGUUUAGAACGUCGUGAGACAGUUCGGUCCCUAUCUGCCGUGGGCGCUGGAGAACUGAGGGGGGCUGCUCCUAGUACGAGAGGACCGGAGUGGACGCAUCACUGGUGUUCGGGUUGUCAUGCCAAUGGCACUGCCCGGUAGCUAAAUGCGGAAGAGAUAAGUGCUGAAAGCAUCUAAGCACGAAACUUGCCCCGAGAUGAGUUCU